CUUUGUUCUUAGCAUAAGCUCUGAAUACCAAGUGUAACUGCAGUUGCUAAAUCUAUGUGUAUCUCCUUUUCCUGCAUUCAUUAUGCACCUACUUCUCCCACAUGUGCAUGUUCCAUCAUCGUGUUUCAUACCCACAGUAUGACCGACCUCAUGUGUCACAGUAUUUGCAAAACUAACAAGGUCCUCAGUCUGGAAACUCUCAAUUCCACAAUUAUGACGAGAGUUACAUACUGUUCCAACAUAAGCUAAGCCACCAACGAUACCAAAUCCUUUCCCUGAAAAAAUAUGUGCAGCAUCAUGGGGCAAGCGGUCAUUAAAGCCUUGUCUCUUCCAGUCACAAAAUCUCCUAAGGCCUCUGUAUAUGUCAUCUAGCAGAAUGAGGUUUCCUUCAGUCCAUAUCUCAAUUCCCAUUAAAGUCACCUCAAUAUCCACUGUUUUAAAAAAGUUAUUUGUGUGAUGAAUAACUUCAUACGCUUCCUUCUGCACAUCUGAGACAUUACUGUCACGAUGAAUAAAACGAUUGUUGUCUACUACCACUGCAAUUUCAAGAUACCGCUUGUGGAGCCACCAGCCUUCAUACGGAGUCCGCAUCAAAGUGAAAGUAUCACUCCCUUGAAGCUUUAAUUGUCGAGCUAUUUCUUCAUCUGUUAAUCCACAUCUCAUGGGUGGAGAUUGUGUCUCUUCACUGUCAAUCCUAUGUACCAGAUGUUCAAAUAUGGGACCUGAGUUCCUAGGGUACUUGCCUACUCUUCUAGUACUAACGGGGAGGACUAUUUCACAAAUGCCAAGAGCUCACAAGAAGAAUAUAAGUUCCCUAAAUGAAAUCAUUGAGGACAACAUCUUUAAAUUAUUCAACUGCUUAGCAACAAGACUCUUCCAAUUCUACAGACCAUGACAACUGGCUAAAGGUCCUCCUUCACUCCAACUCCACAAUUCCCAUCAAACUUCAUCUCAAAUUACUUUUCAGUAUGAAUAAAUCUGACUAUAUUCUUUAUCCCCAUUCUAUGUGCUCCCUACAUACAGUAUAAACACUUUAGUUCAGUACUUUUGCUCGUACUGUUGCCCUGGUCUCAGA
This 1075-nucleotide long non-coding RNA is filed under the name Equus caballus (horse). RNAcentral's name for it is "lncRNA (ENSECAG00000047154.1)". The record is from RNAcentral. Lineage: Eukaryota; Metazoa; Chordata; Mammalia; Perissodactyla; Equidae.